RNAcentral lists this ribosomal RNA (433 nucleotides) under uncultured bacterium. RNAcentral's name for it is "partial 16S ribosomal RNA". It matches the Rfam family "Bacterial small subunit ribosomal RNA", at positions 29 to 507 of the family's 1533-position model. The record is from RNAcentral.
AGCGAACGCUGGCGGCAGGCUUAACACGUGCAAGUCGAGCGGGCCCUUCGGGGUCAGCGGCAGACGGGUGAGUAACGCGUGGGAACGUGCCCUUCGGUUCGGAAUAACUCAGGGAAACUUGAGCUAAUACCGUAUACGCCCUUAUGGGGAAAGGCUUGCUGCCGAAGGAUCGGCCCGCGUCUGAUUAGCUAGUUGGUGAGGUUAUGGCUCACCAAGGCGACGAUCAGUAGCUGGUCUGAGAGGAUGAUCAGCCACACUGGGACUGAGACACGGCCCAGACUCCUACGGGAGGCAGCAGUGGGGAAUAUUGGAAAAUGGGGGCAACCCUGAUCCAGCCAUGCCGCGUGAGUGAUGACGGCCUUAGGGUUGUAAAGCUCUUUUCUCCGGGACGAUAAUGACGGUACCGGAGGAAUAAGCCCCGGCUAACUUCGUG